This is a non-coding RNA of Heterocephalus glaber (naked mole-rat), 1489 nucleotides long. Lineage: Eukaryota; Metazoa; Chordata; Mammalia; Rodentia; Bathyergidae. The record is from RefSeq and is a predicted model, not a curated record.
CGAGUCUGUCUCCUGGCACAGUGGCUUGGGACCUCUCCAGGUUGCCAGGCGCAUUUUCCAGUCAGCUGCUGGGUCCCUUUAAGAGAGCUGGCCCCUCUUAUUGGCUGAGCAAGGCUCCUCCUACCUCUUUACCUGCACAGGUGACAGAAGCCGGGCUUAGGAACCCAGAUGGAAGUCUGGUCCCCAGGGGUGAAGGGGCACAUCCAGUCCACAGCGCUCUUGGCAGGAAGGUUGGCAGUGCAGGUUGUCUGGGGAUCCAAACCCAAGGCUCUUCCUUUGACUCCUCACACAGUGCUUCUGGGGCACACCACCAGCCUGUCGGUGAGGACUGUGGCAAGUCACCCACUGCCUCAGCUUCUUCAUCUGUGAAGUGGUACAGUCACGCCUGUGAGUCUAUACUCACUAUAUGAAGCAUUGGUGUUCAGCAAAUAUCCUGUGCCUGCCACUGUUUUUGCUUCUAGGAAGACAUCAGUGAAAAAGUCAAGAGCACUACUCUUCCUGAGUUGAUAUUGUAGACCGAGGGGGUGUGGAUAUAAACAAGGCAGUAGAUUAGACUGGUAAUCAUGCCAUGAAGAUUGAAAUAAGCUGCUAUGCUAAAGGAAUGAGGGAUGAAUAUUUUUGAUUGUGUGGUCAGGGAGGCCCACUUCAGGGAGGUGAUUUGGAAGGUGAUCUAGCAUGAUGCAAAAGCUGGGACAAGUGCAAGGGCCCGGGGGCAGACAUGUUUGGAGAACACAAAGGAAGCCGCUGUGGCCAAAAUCCAGACCACAAAACCCCUGUUUUCCCUCUUUUAAUACAGAAGGAAGUCAUUCAGAGAGGUGACUUAAUGUGCCCAAGACUCCCUUCUUUACUGUACUGUUCUCCUUCCUGUCCUUGUCCUCAUAUACUAGGGAGAGAAACUGAAGCCCAGCGGUCAUUCUUCUAGCCCACAGUGCUGUGACCUCAAACUGCCUCCACUCUAGGCACAUGCAAGCUCUCAGAGAGGAGGGACUAUGAUUCUAGGAGUGUACUAUAUUGAAGAACAAAAUCUUGACUGACAGAAUGUGGUAUUAAAAGUUCUACCAGGCAGUCACAUGGGGUCAACACAGACCCUCGUUGCUCAAUUCCUUCCCACCUUAAAUUUCAGAGGUUUUUCAUUAGAUUUUUAAAAAUAGCCGGCUGUUUUCUGCCAUUAUAUUGCUGCUGGUAGGUUCGGCCUUGUUAUUCUGAGAUUGGUGGGUAAUGGCAUGAGGUAAAGCGCAUCAUUAAUGCGGGUAUUGUUGAGGAGCAGGACUUUUGGGAUGAAGGAUUUGCAAAUAAAAGAGGAAAGGGGUUACAUAAAGACCUUACAAUUCUGGAUUUAUUGGAAACAAAGCUUUUGUAAAUAAGGAGGGGAGGAGGGGAGGGGAAUGAGAAUAAAAGAAGCAAGAUACAUCAUGUACAGGUACAAACUUCCUAUGAUGAAUUUUAUCAUGAUGUUUAUAUAAAAUGUACCAAUAAAAGAACAAUUCUG